RNAcentral lists this ribosomal RNA (497 nucleotides) under uncultured bacterium. Its description in RNAcentral is "partial 16S ribosomal RNA". It matches the Rfam family "Bacterial small subunit ribosomal RNA", at positions 28 to 507 of the family's 1533-position model. The record is from RNAcentral.
GAUGAACGCUGGCGGCGUGCCUAAUACAUGCAAGUCGAGCGAACAGACGAGGAGCUUGCUCCUCUGAUGUUAGCGGCGGACGGGUGAGUAACACGUGGAUAACCUACCUAUAAGACUGGGAUAACUUCGGGAAUCCGGAGCUAAUACCGGAUAACAUGUUGAACCGCAUGGUUCAACAGUGAAAGACGGUCUUGCUGUCACUUAUAGAUGGAUCCGCGCCGCAUUAGCUAGUUGGUAAGGUAACGGCUUACCAAGGCAACGAUGCGUAGCCGACCUGAGAGGGUGAUCGGCCACACUGGAACUGAGACACGGUCCAGACUCCUACGGGAGGCAGCAGUAGGGAAUCGUCCGCAAUGGGCGGAAGCCUGACGGAGCGACGCCGCGUGAGUGAAGAAGGUCUUCGGAUCGUAAAGCUCUGUUAUUAGGGAAGAACAAAUGUGUAAGUAACUAUGCACGUCUUGACGGUACCUAAUCAGAAAGCCACGGCUAACUACGUG